This 118-nucleotide ribosomal RNA is filed under the name Desmonostoc geniculatum HA4340-LM1. RNAcentral describes it as "partial 16S ribosomal RNA". It matches the Rfam family "Bacterial small subunit ribosomal RNA", at positions 1 to 130 of the family's 1533-position model. The record is from RNAcentral. Lineage: Bacteria; Bacillati; Cyanobacteriota; Cyanophyceae; Nostocales; Nostocaceae.
AAAACGGAGAGUUUGAUCCUGGCUCAGGAUGAACGCUGGCGGUAUGCUUAACACAUGCAAGUCGAACGGAAUCUUCGGAUUUAGUGGCGGACGGGUGAGUAACGCGUGAGAAUCUAGC